GUCUACGACCAUGCCACCCUGAACAUGCCUGAUCCAUUCUGAUCUUGGAAGCUAAGGAGGGUCAGGCUUGGUUAGUACUUGGAUGGGAGACCACCUAUGAAGACCAGGUGCUGUAAGCA
This 119-nucleotide ribosomal RNA is filed under the name Pteropus alecto (black flying fox). The record is from RNAcentral. Lineage: Eukaryota; Metazoa; Chordata; Mammalia; Chiroptera; Pteropodidae.